This 74-nucleotide transfer RNA is filed under the name Planctomycetota bacterium. RNAcentral's name for it is "Planctomycetes bacterium (soil metagenome) tRNA-Gln". It matches the Rfam family "tRNA". From Rfam's summary of the family: Transfer RNA (tRNA) molecules are approximately 80 nucleotides in length. Their secondary structure includes four short double-helical elements and three loops (D, anti-codon, and T loops). The record is from RNAcentral. Lineage: Bacteria; Pseudomonadati; Planctomycetota.
UCUCCUGUCGUCCAACGGUAGGACCUCGGACUUUGAAUCCGAGUAUCGUGGUUCGAGUCCGCGCGGGAGAUCCA